RNAcentral lists this ribosomal RNA (743 nucleotides) under uncultured Microbacteriaceae bacterium. RNAcentral describes it as "bacterial SSU rRNA". It matches the Rfam family "Bacterial small subunit ribosomal RNA", at positions 592 to 1333 of the family's 1533-position model. Lineage: Bacteria; Bacillati; Actinomycetota; Actinomycetes; Micrococcales; Microbacteriaceae. The record is from RNAcentral.
CUGUGAAAACUGGAGGCUCAACCUCCAGCCUGCAGUGGGUACGGGCAGACUAGAGUGCGGUAGGGGAGAUUGGAAUUCCUGGUGUAGCGGUGGAAUGCGCAGAUAUCAUGAGGAACACCGAUGGCGAAGGCAGAUCUCUGGGCCGUAACUGACGCUGAGGAGCGAAAGCAUGGGGAGCGAACAGGAUUAGAUACCCUGGUAGUCCAUGCCGUAAACGUUGGGAACUAGAUGUAGGGGCCAUUCCACGGCUUCUGUGUCGCAGCUAACGCAUUAAGUUCCCCGCCUGGGGAGUACGGCCGCAAGGCUAAAACUCAAAGGAAUUGACGGGGGCCCGCACAAGCGGCGGAGCAUGCGGAUUAAUUCGAUGCAACGCGAAGAACCUUACCAAGGCUUGACAUAUACGAGAACGGGCUAGAAAUAGUCAACUCUUUGGACACUCGUAAACAGGUGGUGCAUGGUUGUCGUCAGCUCGUGUCGUGAGAUGUUGGGUUAAGUCCCGCAACGAGCGCAACCCUCGUUCUUUGUUGCCAGCACGUAAUGGUGGGAACUCAAAGGAGACUGCCGGGGUCAAUUCGGAGGAAGGUGGGGAUGACGUCAAAUCAUCAUGCCCCUUAUGUCUUGGGCUUCACGCAUGCUACAAUGGCCGGUACAAAGGGCUGCAAUACCGUAAGGUGGAGCGAAUCCCAAAAAGCCGGUCUCAGUUCGGAUUGAGGUCUGCAACUCGACCUCAUGAAGUCGGAGUC